Molecule: unclassified non-coding RNA, 192 nt
Filed under: plant metagenome
Description: partial contains small subunit ribosomal RNA and internal transcribed spacer 1
Rfam family: Eukaryotic small subunit ribosomal RNA (bases 1-46)
Source: RNAcentral
AAGUCGUAACAAGGUUUCCGUAGGUGAACCUGCGGAAGGAUCAUUACCAAUUUUAUCGGGGGACUUCGGUCCCUGUCUGAACCCUUGUCUUUUGCGUACUAGUUGUUUCCUCGGCAGGCUUUGCCUGCCGGUUGGACAGUAUAAAACCUUUUGUAAUUGCAAUCAGCGUCAGAAAAAACAUAAUAGUUACAA